UACGUAGGGGGCUAGCGUUGUCCGGAAUCAUUGGGCGUAAAGCGCGCGUAGGCGGCCCGGUAAGUCCGCUGUGAAAGUCAAAGGCUCAACCUUUGAAUGUCAGCGGAUACUGCCAGGCUAGAGUCCGGAAGAGGCGAGUGGAACUCCUGGUGUAGCGGUGAAAUGCGCAGAUAUCAGGAGGAACACCAAUGGCGAAGGCAGCUCGCUGGGACGGUACUGACGCUGAGACGCGAAAGCGUGGGGAGCAAACAGG
Molecule: ribosomal RNA, 253 nt
Filed under: uncultured bacterium
Lineage: Bacteria
Description: partial 16S ribosomal RNA
Rfam family: Bacterial small subunit ribosomal RNA
Source: RNAcentral